This 825-nucleotide ribosomal RNA is filed under the name Bacillus sp. (in: firmicutes). RNAcentral describes it as "bacterial SSU rRNA". It matches the Rfam family "Bacterial small subunit ribosomal RNA", at positions 157 to 968 of the family's 1533-position model. The record is from RNAcentral. Lineage: Bacteria; Bacillati; Bacillota; Bacilli; Caryophanales; Bacillaceae.
CCGGAGCUAAUACCGGAUACUAUGUCAAACCGCAUGGUUUGACAUUCAAAGACGGUUUCGGCUGUCACUUACAGAUGGGCCCGCGGCGCAUUAGCUAGUUGGUGAGGUAAUGGCUCACCAAGGCGACGAUGCGUAGCCGACCUGAGAGGGUGAUCGGCCACACUGGGACUGAGACACGGCCCAGACUCCUACGGGAGGCAGCAGUAGGGAAUCUUCCGCAAUGGACGAAAGUCUGACGGAGCAACGCCGCGUGAGUGAUGAAGGUUUUCGGAUCGUAAAACUCUGUUGUCAGGGAAGAACAAGUGCCGGAGUAACUGCCGGCACCUUGACGGUACCUGACCAGAAAGCCACGGCUAACUACGUGCCAGCAGCCGCGGUAAUACGUAGGUGGCAAGCGUUGUCCGGAAUUAUUGGGCGUAAAGCGCGCGCAGGCGGUUUCUUAAGUCUGAUGUGAAAGCCCCCGGCUCAACCGGGGAGGGUCAUUGGAAACUGGGAAACUUGAGUGCAGAAGAGGAGAGUGGAAUUCCACGUGUAGCGGUGAAAUGCGUAGAGAUGUGGAGGAACACCAGUGGCGAAGGCGACUCUCUGGUCUGUAACUGACGCUGAGGCGCGAAAGCGUGGGGAGCGAACAGGAUUAGAUACCCUGGUAGUCCACGCCGUAAACGAUGAGUGCUAAGUGUUAGAGGGUUUCCGCCCUUUAGUGCUGCAGCUAACGCAUUAAGCACUCCGCCCUGGGGAGUACGGUCGCAAGACUGAAACUCAAGAAUUUGACGGGGGCCCGCACAAGCGGUGGGAGGCAUGGUGGGUUUUAAUUUCCGAAAGGCC